Molecule: ribosomal RNA, 499 nt
Filed under: Ruegeria sp.
Lineage: Bacteria; Pseudomonadati; Pseudomonadota; Alphaproteobacteria; Rhodobacterales; Roseobacteraceae
Description: bacterial SSU rRNA
Rfam family: Bacterial small subunit ribosomal RNA
Source: RNAcentral
CGGACGGGUUAGUAACGCGUGGGAAUAUGCCCUUUUCUGCGGAAUAGCCUCUGGAAACGGAGAGUAAUACCGCAUACGCCCUUCGGGGGAAAGAUUUAUCGGAGAAGGAUUAGCCCGCGUUAGAUUAGGUAGUUGGUGGGGUAAUGGCCUACCAAGCCUACGAUCUAUAGCUGGUUUUAGAGGAUGAUCAGCAACACUGGGACUGAGACACGGCCCAGACUCCUACGGGAGGCAGCAGUGGGGAAUCUUGGACAAUGGGGGCAACCCUGAUCCAGCCAUGCCGCGUGAGUGAUGAAGGCCUUAGGGUCGUAAAGCUCUUUCGCCUGUGAAGAUAAUGACGGUAGCAGGUAAAGAAACCCCGGCUAACUCCGUGCCAGCAGCCGCGGUAAUACGGAGGGGGUUAGCGUUGUUCGGAAUUACUGGGCGUAAAGCGCACGUAGGCGGAUCGGAAAGUUGGGGGUGAAAUCCCGGGGCUCAACCCCGGAACUGCCUCCAAAAC